Mauremys reevesii (Reeves's turtle) is the source of this 850-nucleotide long non-coding RNA. RefSeq lists it as uncharacterized. Lineage: Eukaryota; Metazoa; Chordata; Testudines; Geoemydidae. The record is from RefSeq and is a predicted model, not a curated record. The transcript has 6 exons.
CCGCCUUUAUGAGCAGAUGGGACAUCAUCACAUGCCUCAAGAAGGCAGCAAGCAUUUCCCAGCAGGCUCAAAACCUUCAAAAAGGAUGAAGGGACUUUCAGGUGCACAUUGGGGAGGUUAAAGGAACAGAGUUGCAGUGCAUGACCCAGCAAAGAACAGGACACCAGUGAGACUGAGAGGCAAGAUAUUUUUACUUCGUCCUAAGUGGCACACAGUAGAGCCCUGCAGCAGGACCAGGAUCCCACAGGACCCGCUGCCAUAAUAGCAGGAGCAGGAUUAAAAAUAAUCCCACGCAGGGAUCUAGCAUACAGGAUCUGGUCCAAGAGGUGAAUACAGCUGAACUGCUCUGUAAUAGCGACCAUAAGGUGUCUGCAGCCUGACUGUCACAGAUAAUACUUCAUGAACCCCAAGUACUGCAUCAAUACGAAGUCAAUCUCAGUUGGCGUCUGGACUUCAAGUGUUGUUACUGAUCAGACAGACAAAUUACCCUAUAGUGAAAGAAAGGAGAUACUGGUAUUGCAACAAUCUUCUAUUCCCAAUUCCUUGUUCCACUCUGGCUAAGCUAGUGAAGAAAGCUUUAAACUACAUUCAACGGGGUCAGGAGACAAAAACUCACAGGUGUUCUCUGCCAUUAAUCCUGACAGCCUUUAUGUGCUUGAUGUUUGGCUGGACAGAGGCUACUUUUAACAAACCCUGUAUGGAGAUUUGAAACGAGGACUAGAGGAACGGAUUUGGGGAGGAGAGCACCCAGACUCCCCUUCACCCUCCUUCUUCCCAAGAGUAAAACAGGAACUCUGCUUCAGGUGUAAUCUGAAACAGUUUUAAAUAUAUUUCCAUGAAUUUACCAUAA